Osmia lignaria (orchard mason bee) is the source of this 787-nucleotide non-coding RNA. Lineage: Eukaryota; Metazoa; Arthropoda; Insecta; Hymenoptera; Megachilidae. The record is from RefSeq and is a predicted model, not a curated record.
UUUAAAACAUUUCAUUAUUGCGAUAUAAUCUAGGAUCAAUAUUCAAUUUGAAUAAUAUUCGUGUUCGUUGAGAAUAUUUUAUGAACAGGGAUAUUUCCAUUUACAAAUAAUAACAGUAUUUCCUUAACCCAACGCUGAAUAAGAAGAAUGUUUGUUUUGUAUAUUUCCACCCAUCCCCAACCUGACUAAUCUUUUCUUCCAGGAAUUGUUGUGGCCGCGCGCAAGGCGGUCGGUAGAGCCAGUGUUUGCACGUACAUACGUUUAAUGUUUUGAUUUUCUCAAGGGUGAACUGGCCCUGAAUAGCGUUGCGUUUGUACAAUUAGGAAUCACGCGAUAGUAGAGUCAGUGUUUGCUGCGUUUUAUAAAAUAUUUUCUAGAGCAUCGCGGCUCUGAUUUUUCUUUUUUCAUCGCGAAAGUAGAAUCACUACAAUUGUUCGCCGAAAAUUAUUCACGGUCGCGUUAUUAGUAUUUUAUAUCUUGAAUUUUAUUUUUAAUUUUUUUUUUUUUUAUUGCUCGAUAUAUCCGGUAUUAGAGUCAGUGCACCACUGAAGAGGAGUCUUGGGUGUUGCUCCAUAAGGAAAGAGUAUGAAUUUUUUGAUUUUGCCGAGUUCCUGGACAUCCUGAUGAUGGCUUUCUUCACGACUUCCGUCUUGAUGAAUCUUCUCCUACAAGGCAGCCUCCUACCUGGUGUUGUCCAUCCUCCUACUUGACUGUCGGAAGAAGAGUAUAUCUGCGAACGGUGAGUCGCAUGUUUUAUGGUUCCUCUGGUGCCCUAUCAUGUCGUAGG